GUCGAACGAAGCACCUUAUUCUGAUUUCUUCGGAAUGAAAAAUUUGGUGACUGAGUGGCGGACGGGUGAGUAACGCGUGGGUAACCUGCCUCAUACAGGGGGAUAACAGUUAGAAAUGACUGCUAAUACCGCAUAAGACCACAGCACCGCAUGGUGCAGGGGUAAAAACUCCGGUGGUAUGAGAUGGACCCGCGUCUGAUUAGGUAGUUGGUGGGGUAACGGCCUACCAAGCCGACGAUCAGUAGCCGACCUGAGAGGGUGACCGGCCACAUUGGGACUGAGACACGGCCCAAACUCCUACGGGAGGCAGCAGUGGGGAAUAUUGCACAGUGGGGGAAACCCUGAUGCAGCGACGCCGCGUGAGCGAUGAAGUAUUUCGGUAUGUAAAGCUCUAUCAGCAGGGAAGAAAAUGACGGUACCUGACUAAGAAGCACCGGCUAAAUACGUGCCAGCAGCCGCGGUAAUACGUAUGGUGCAAGCGUUAUCCGGAUUUACUGGGUGUAAAGGGAGCGUAGACGGAGUGGCAAGUCUGAUGUGAAAACCCGGGGCUCAACCCCGGGACUGCAUUGGAAACUGUCAAUCUAGAGUACCGGAGAGGUAAGCGGAAUUCCUAGUGUAGCGGUGAAAUGCGUAGAUAUUAGGAGGAACACCAGUGGCGAAGGCGGCUUACUGGACGGUAACUGACGUUGAGGCUCGAAAGCGUGGGGAGCAAACAGGAUUAGAUACCCUGGUAGUCCACGCCGUAAACGAUGACUACUAGGUGUCGGGCAGCAAAGCUGUUCGGUGCCGCAGCAAACGCAAUAAGUAGUCCACCUGGGGAGUACGUUCGCAAGAAUGAAACUCAAAGG
RNAcentral lists this ribosomal RNA (848 nucleotides) under uncultured bacterium. RNAcentral describes it as "bacterial SSU rRNA". It matches the Rfam family "Bacterial small subunit ribosomal RNA", at positions 61 to 907 of the family's 1533-position model. The record is from RNAcentral.